CGAUUAUCGGCAGUUUUAGAGCGAGGCAGAGAUCCCACCGGUAAAUAUGACAGAGCUCACAACAAUCUCUCCACACCCGCUUCUGUGUAGAGUGCAUAAUAAAAAGGGCAUCUACGUAUGAAUAUUUUUUAUACGGAAUGCAGGCCGUCAAGGCGUGGCGCGGCAGACAGAGUGGCGUCAAAAGUUGCCCGAGUCGUGGACUGGGAGGGAGUCGGAGGUCGGGCUGUGCCCCUACAUGUGAGUAUGUAUGCAUGUACAUAUGUAUGUGCCAGUGGCUGCCUUGGGGAGGCUGGCUGUUAUGAAAACAACGGCAGCCAAAAACCACUUGGCACGGGCCGCACCUCGUUGUUGAGCCCGACCGACCCAAUGCUAAAUUCUCGACUCGACAGUUUGAUAUGCGGUUUGGCAGAGCCAGCAAAAUAUCAGUUUUCCAUUGCAGAACAGGACCACUGGCAGCAGGAACACCAGCAAGGAGCUUUCCACUUGCUGAUUUAAUUCUCCAUGGCCGACUUUUGGCCAGGCCCUGGCUUUGGUUCGUGUUUGGGUGCUCGCCGAGGCGUGGGUGGUCCAGUGGCCAGAGGAAAAACUCGUCAAAUGUUUACAAGCAAAUAUGCCACAUCAUCAGAGACAAAGCGGCAGAGGGGGAGAGGAACUACCGUUGGAUGCAGUUGGGGUGUUGUGUGGUGUGCUCUUUAACUGCGCUUCUCUGGGAAUUUGUAGUUUCCCCUCUCUUGGACUCACUCACUCUCUCUCUGCAGUUGGAAUCUUGUUAAGCCAUGACCUGUGGGGGAGUGAGCAGGAUGCUUGGGUUUUGGGGGCCAGCUAAAGAGCGACAGAGAGAGAGAGCGAGACAAUAAGUUGGAAUUCGCUUUGAUCUUUUCGCACUUUUAAAUGUUUGAGAAAUCUUUGUAAAAGGCAUGAAUCGGAUUUCGGAGAACCAAUAAAAAAUUAAUGGCA
Molecule: long non-coding RNA, 957 nt
Filed under: Drosophila guanche
Lineage: Eukaryota; Metazoa; Arthropoda; Insecta; Diptera; Drosophilidae
Source: RNAcentral